GUAGGUGGCAAGCGUUGUCCGGAAUUAUUGGGCGUAAAGCGCGCGCAGGGCGGUCCUUUAGGUCUGAUGUGAAAGCCCACGGCUCAACCGUGGAGGGUCAUUGGAAACUGGGGGACUUGAGUACAGAAGAGGAAAGCGGAAUUCCAAGUGUAGCGGUGAAAUGCGUAGAGAUUUGGAGGAACACCAGUGGCGAAGGCGGCUUUCUGGUCUGUAACUGACGCUGAGGCGCGAAAGCGUGGGGAGCAAACAGGAUUAGAUACCCUGGUAGUCCACGCCGUAAACGAUGAGUGCUAAGUGUUAGGGGGUUUCCGCCCCUUAGUGCUGCAGCUAACGCAUUAAGCACUCCGCCUGGGGAGUACGGCCGCAAGGCUG
This 372-nucleotide ribosomal RNA is filed under the name uncultured organism. Its description in RNAcentral is "partial 16S ribosomal RNA". It matches the Rfam family "Bacterial small subunit ribosomal RNA", at positions 527 to 896 of the family's 1533-position model. The record is from RNAcentral.